AUAAAAGUUAGCAGUCAAUAGCCUACUGCCUUUACAGAAGAGGGAUUUUUCAUCGAUCCGUUGUCGCUGUCGACCUAAAAAGCAAUCUUACAGCUUAGGGCAUUUUCAAGCGAUGGGGUUUGACCUUCAAAUGCCGGAAAUAGACCACCCCCGAGGCAGAAGAAAUGGCACGAUCUCUAUCAGAAGAUAGAAAAAUGCCCCAUGCAAGCACGAGUUCAGACCACCCUUUUUGGAGGGUCUAUGACCUGUUACUGUGGCUUUCACUCUACUAAGGUAAACUGGUUUAAAAUAAAAUCUGAUUACAAUCA
Molecule: long non-coding RNA, 308 nt
Organism: Girardinichthys multiradiatus
Lineage: Eukaryota; Metazoa; Chordata; Actinopteri; Cyprinodontiformes; Goodeidae
Exons: 3
Source: RefSeq, a predicted model, not a curated record